Non-coding RNA from Mus caroli (Ryukyu mouse), 3888 nucleotides. Lineage: Eukaryota; Metazoa; Chordata; Mammalia; Rodentia; Muridae. The record is from RefSeq and is a predicted model, not a curated record.
CUAGCCAUGCAUUUCAUUUCAUCUGUGCAUAUCUUCUUCUAUCCUUCACAUUCCCCACACAGAGGCAAGAGUUCUCGCCUAGGAUUCUAAGUGACUUAACAUUAUCGUUGAAUGCAUCUUCAGUACAAUGCGGUGUGAUAAAAUUUCCAGUGAGUGGAGGGUCAAUCACAUCGUUUAAUAUGGAAUUUGGACAAGUUGCCAUCAUGGUUAAUGAGAGUAUUAAGUCUGAACGUAAUUCUUCCAUUUGGAGGUUGAAUAUACGUACUGAAAUCUAUCUUUAUUGAAAGCUACUCUCUUAUCUGGUACUUACACGGUGUUAGAAAGCAUCCUUCUCCUGUUACUACAAGCCUGCUUUUAUUGCAUCCUGCCAACUUGAUGGGAGAAGAAUCUUUUGGUUGGUGAUCUUUGGUAAAAUUAUGUUAAUAAAAACAACUUCUUGACACACAUUUUUCUAUAUAUGAAAAAUAUUACCUGACACUCAUUAUUUUGGGUUAUAGAAAUCAUAUUUAUAACUGUUAAACUUUAUCAUUGGUUUGUUUAGAUAUGUCUUCUCAGACAUGAAGGUAUGAGAGGUACUUACUUGUAGAUAGGAAUAUUGAUGAGGGUGUGGCAUGUCAAUGUGAUCAGAAUGUAUGGUACACAUGAGAAAUUGUUUAAAGAUUAAAUUUCAUUCAAAAGCUAUUAGAGAAUUAACUUUAACUCAUCUUAGUCUGGACAUAAGUAUUUAGAGGCUAGCGAUAUUUAUUAACUAUGUCAGCAUAUUUCUACUUUAUGAUUGAAUAAGCAUCCAGAAAGAUCUAAUAAAAAUUGAAUGCUUCAUAUUAUUUUUAAUUGAAGAACACUGAAAAUUACAAUUGUAUAUUUUUUUUGCUAAACAUUUUUUGCUAUUAUAUUAGAGCAAAGACUGUAACACAGUCUUUGAAGUGGGAGGACUAAUAAUAAUAUUUCUACUCCCACUUUCAAGUGUAAGGCCAAUGGCAUUUUAUAAGAAUUAUUUUUUUUUGGUUAUAUACGUUUUCUUUUUUUGGAGAACUACAAAAACAAAGAUGAAUAUAUUAUUGUCAGUAAACAUGAUACAGCAAUUUACACAAUUAAAAACAUAAUUUGAUGAAAAAACUCUAAAAGAUAGCUUUUGCAAUAUAUUUUUGAAGUUAAAACAAAAUAUGGGAAACAAAUUUAAUCAAUGCCUUUAAAACAACCAUGCUACUUCUAUGAAAGAAUUAAAAUUAUUCUAGAGAGUAAUAACACAUUCAAUGGGAUGGUUAAGUUGGAUUUUAUAGUUAUUACACACACUUACUUUGAUAAUCUACUAACAUUUGGGAAGGUGAACUCAGUCUCUCAAGUGUGCCAAAGGCCCACCCUAUAAACCACAAGAUCAAAUACAGUGAUGGCUUUUGUGCUUUAUUUUCUGCUUCUGUCAAAAAGCAGUAUAACACAGGGCAAACCACACAGAUUUAAAACAAAGUCCUUUAGAUUUUACUGAUUUUAAAAUGAUUUUAUAAAAUGCUAUGUGUGAGAUGGGUAUAAUCAUACACCAAUGUGACCCUGGCACUAAGGUAGAAAUGGACAGGGUACUAAGUUGAAGGCUGGAAAACUUUUCAGGAUACUGUGUGAAAGUAAAAGGCAAAUGCCUAUGCUGGGUCUCAGUGUCAGAGCCUACUACAUGUGAGGCCCUGGGCUCAACCGUUAUUGACAUUUCAUUUUAAUAGUGGUUUCAUAAAAUCUUUACAACAUAUUAAAAUACUUAAGGAUUUAACAAGUUAAAUAAACACAUGGGUGGUUCUUAAGGCUGUAAAAUUUAGAUGCACUAUAGCUACUGAACUGUCAAGGAUCAAUGUGUGUAUUAGAAGCUCAUAUCUUAAAAUCUCUACACUGAGGGCAUUUAUAUUUCUAAAUGUAUUGUAUUCAAUAAAUUUAAAAUUGAUAUGAUUAAUUUUGUUUUGGCUAAAAACAUAUACUUCUUAAGUAAAAUUUAAACAGUGUGAACAUAUACUAUUAAUCUGUUUUUUUAUUAUUUUGAGAGAUAAGCUAUCCAUAAACUUCCAACACUGAACUCCACUACACCAUGUCCAUUUGUUCAGGAAUCAAGAACUUUUAUAUUUUUAAGUCUGAAAUUAAAAUGUUUCAAAUCUGAAAAUGUUUCAAAUAGCAAAACUUUAACUUUUAUGAAAAAAGCAACAUGUAGAAACUGCCUUGAAUUAUGGUAGAUAUUGCAUCUUGUGAGAGUUGCAAUGGAAUUUAAUAGUUUUCUCUAGUACCACACAGUAAAUACACCGAAGAUUUCACCAGACACAUUUACUGCGAGCAACUCCAUGUAUCUCCCAUGCUCCUCCAAUUGCUUAGACAUGUUUACUUUCAUGAGAUUCCUCAGGUUUUAAGAGUUUCCCUUGUUUACGUUUAAGUUAUACCUCCAGAGUCAACCUACACUGAACCCUAGCGUUGCCAAAUGCACCAGGUUUGCUAGUGCGUUUUGACUUACAUGAUAGUUGCAAUUUUGAAAACUUCUGGCUAUAUCAACCUUUUGGAAAACAAAACCACUUAUCUUGCACUAAAGUUGCUUACUGUCUCAGAAAUAUUACAAUGCUGUUUUUUAUCACUUUAGUUUGUGAACCAAAAAUCUUUAUACUGUCAGGAGAGGAAGAUUUUCAAUUUAUUAAUUUUAUCUUCAUGCCUUCAGACUCAGCAACUGUAUAGCAUCUCAUUUUCUGCAAAAUAGGGAUACAAUCAAUGCUGGCACCUUAUACUAUUGUAUGAAUUAAUAUGAAAGUGCUUUCAGCAUAUAGCAGAAUAUAAUAGUUAUUUUAAUCUCCUCACAUUUUGGAGAGUCAUUUAUGAAAAUAUGUCCUAAUAAUACUUCAGAGAAAAUUUCUUAUCUACUUCUGCAUUAAGUAACAUUCUUGAAAAAAUUUAAUUUUAGAAGUUCAUAUUUUAAAAAAUGCUCACGGCUAAUGGCAAUAAAGCUUAUGCUAAUGAGAAAGAAAUGUCAUAAUGAAUAUUAUAAUUAUAGCAUUGUAACUGUAACUUUGCUUUUCCCAAACAUUUGAAGCGAUAUAAAAAGAGGUGUGAUAAGCUUAAUUAUAUUGGUUUUAACUGUUUUACUACAGACAAGUGAUGACAUUGUCAUUGCUGGUUAAAAAAUAAUUACUCUGUUCAAAAGUAGGAUCAAAAUGGACAGAUGACAUGAUCUCAGCUGAGUAUUAAGAGCCACGGUUCAGAGAAACAGGGAUUUUGUAUCUCCAGUUCUAGUUUUAGUAUCAAUUAUGCACCUUCAGUACACUCUGCUUCAACAUUAAAAACUAGUGAAAAUAUCUCCCUGAUUUCUUCAUGUUGGGAUUAAGUGGCAUGGGUAUGAAGAAAAGAUGAAGAAGUAACAAAGGAAGCUGAGUGCUAAUCUGCACCUGAGCAAAACCACUCUGCUGUACUCCUCAGUGUGCAUCCUGACAUCACUGCAGGGAACACUUCAGUGACAGAUCUGAGAACAAUACCUGUAAAGUGACAGAUUCAUUCACAUGAAGGCUUGCAAGGAAUAGCGGUGUAUUGGUGUUAAAGCUCACGCAAUGCCACAGAGUGAGAGUGGGUUGAGUGUCUUGUGUGGGGUGGCUGUGGCCCCUGACAGGGUUAAGAUAUCACUCUGUGAAUACUAAUUUUCUCGUGUUUUAUCCUCUUGUAUCACUUUCCUCUUUUUGCCCAGGCCAGGUAAUUGGAAAAUAUAGCAUCUUUUUCAAACUGAAGAAAUUUAUAGGAAAUCAAAUUAUAUACAGAUUCAAAUUUUCACAUGAGAUAUUUUAUUUUAAAAAAUUUCUGAUCACUGGAUACAUCAAUAUAUAAAAAUUGUUCUAAAAGUUUAUGGAGAAAAUUCAUCAUUGUUCCACACACUCAACAAAUACC